ACAAAUGUUUUAAAUGCUGCACUCAUGAUCUUAUUAUCCAUCAACUUGGUCUUGCUCACUAUGCUUAAGGUUAGAGAAGAACAAAUACACUUUUGGUUCUGUUGGUGUUUUUCACCAACAGGGUCCAUGCACUUGAUCUCUGCCUUGUCUCUAUGAGCAGGUACACUUCAAGCAAAACCGGAAGGAGUUUUACAACUCCUAGAUUCCACCAAGUGAAGGACUUGGAUCAACGAACACAAACACACUGAGCAAGAUAUUGCCACCGCCGCACUUCGAACUACUGGGCAAACGAAGAACAUGGGUGACACCGUAUCAAGAGGAGCAGACGUCAGGGUCCACACCUGAAUCAAAUGACGCACCUAAAGAAUGAAUACAUGAGAAGUCUUGUUCAGAAGACUUAAAACAUUGAACCCUCGCCGAAAGAUAAAAUCGGUAGUUAUCCAUAUUUAUCCUUUCUGCAUUCCCUUUUCCCCUAAAUUAUUUACUUUCCUUAAAUGGCUUGUUAGUUAUUCAUGCUAUCUUGAAAAGAAAAUAAAAAUGUUAAAAAUAGUAAGCCCCAUGUGAGUAUGCAUGUGGCAUAAAACCCAUAAGUACAUUCAUUGUGGUGGCGUAAAAAUAAAAUAAAUAUAGUCCUGUCCUAUAGAAAUGAAAAUAUAAAAAAAUAAAUUUAUGAUCCUACCAAAGAGAGUAACAUUUAUUAAGGAGGCUCAACAUGAUAAAGGCUAGAUAUUUAUGCUAACACUUAACUAGUUCCACAAAGCUUUGUUGUCUAUUUGAGCUCCACAGAAUUCAAGGAUCAAAGAAGACUAGCAGACGGAGGACAUCCUAAUCGCUGUGAGGGUGCUGCCGACAUUCAAAUACACCUCCACCACCUGCUAGCUACAUCAGAAGAAAUUACGUCAAAAUCCAGCUUGGGGGAGAGCACCCUCAUUUAUCUAGCUAAGUGUUUCUACUCAUGUUUAUACUUUACUCAAAUAAUAAAAAGAUGCAUAAUCAUAAAA
This 1001-nucleotide long non-coding RNA is filed under the name Sorghum bicolor (sorghum). Its description in RNAcentral is "long non-coding RNA (SBIC_LNC006412)". The record is from RNAcentral. Lineage: Eukaryota; Viridiplantae; Streptophyta; Magnoliopsida; Poales; Poaceae.